GACGAACGCUGGCGGCGUGCUUAACACAUGCAAGUCGAACGAUGAAGCCGGAGCUUGCUCUGGUGAAUUAGUGGCGAACGGGUGAGUAACACGUGAGUAACCUGCCCUUGACUCUGGGAUAACUGCGGGAAACUGUAGCUAAUACCGGAUACGACCCUCGGAGGCAUCUCCUGGGGGUGGAAAGAAUUUCGGUCAAGGAUGGACUCGCGGCCUAUCAGCUAGUUGGUGAGGUAAAGGAUCACCAAGGCGACGACGGGUAGCCGGCCUGAGAGGGUGACCGGCCACACUGGGACUGAGACACGGCCCAGACUCCUACGGGAGGCAGCAGUGGGGAAUAUUGCACAAGGGGCGCAAGCCUGAUGCAGCAACGCCGCGUGAGGGAUGAUGGCCUUCGGGUUGUAAACCUCUUUUAGCAGGGAAGAAGCGAAAGUGACGGUACCUGCAGAAAAAGCACCGGCUAACUACGUGCCAGCAGCCGCGGUAA
Molecule: ribosomal RNA, 484 nt
Filed under: uncultured bacterium
Lineage: Bacteria
Description: partial 16S ribosomal RNA
Rfam family: Bacterial small subunit ribosomal RNA
Source: RNAcentral